AGCUCCAAUAGCGUAUAUUAAAGUUGUUGCAGGUAAAAAGCUCGUAGCUGGAUUUCUGGUGGGAGGGAUUGGCCUAGCACUAUGUGCGGGAACUUGUAUCCUAUCCAGCCAUCCUUGGGUGGAUCUUGUCUGGCAUUAAGUUGUCAGUCAGGGGAUGCUCAUUGUUUACUGUGAAAAAAUUAGAGUGUUCAAAGAAGGUUUAUGUCAUUGAAUAUAUUCUCAUGGAAUAAUAAGAUAGGGCCCCGGUACUAUUUUGUUGGUUUGCGUACCGAGGUAGUGAUUAAUAAGGACAGUUGGGAGUAUUUGUAUUCAGUAUUCAGUGGUGAAAUACUUAGACCUAUGGAAUACAAACUACUGAAAAAUCAUUUACCAAGGAUGUUUUCA
RNAcentral lists this ribosomal RNA (384 nucleotides) under uncultured eukaryote. RNAcentral describes it as "SSU rRNA". It matches the Rfam family "Eukaryotic small subunit ribosomal RNA", at positions 587 to 972 of the family's 1831-position model. The record is from RNAcentral.